GUGUUGUACGAAAGGAGAGAAGGUUAGCACUCACCUUGAAAAGGACUGAUAACAUACAUACUGUCAAGGCACAGUAUUACCCACACUACUAAUAACUGAUACUA
Cherax quadricarinatus is the source of this 104-nucleotide small nuclear RNA. The record is from RefSeq and is a predicted model, not a curated record. NCBI's taxonomy places the organism in Eukaryota, Metazoa, Arthropoda, Malacostraca, Decapoda, Parastacidae.